This 795-nucleotide long non-coding RNA is filed under the name Cricetulus griseus (Chinese hamster). Its description in RNAcentral is "lncRNA (ENSCGRG00015034690.1)". Lineage: Eukaryota; Metazoa; Chordata; Mammalia; Rodentia; Cricetidae. The record is from RNAcentral.
UGUCUCCUGUGGUGGUCACUUCUAUACCCAUUCCUAGCAUGGUGAAGCUGGGAACAUCCAAGAACAGCAAGCACUCAAAACUGCCGAACCACCACUCCCACCUUCUGGCAGUUGUGAGCUGUCCCUAGUGGUUGCUGAUAACUCUUAUCUGCUGAGCCGUUUCUCCAGUCUCUCCACUGAGCCUGGAGCUCACUGAUUAGGUGCUAACAUUCCAUCCCUGGUUUGUAUGGUGCUGGGGGAUUGAACCUAGGUCCUUGGUCAUGCUGGGAAAUAGAACUCUCCACAGGAACCCUUGCAUGAGUUAGAAAAUCAUUUUGCAUUGUGCUGCUAGGCCUGCAAGGUGCCCACCAUGGAGCACGGCUCACCUCUCUUGGAUGAAGCCCAGAGAGCCCUCGGUGCACAGACCGUAGGAAAUCACCCAGCUGAAGAGCUCAUUUUCUUUCAGGAUCAGUGUUGGAAGCUGCUGCGAUUCAAACGAGCAAAUGUUAGCUUCGAGAGGAAAUUGAUAAUUAUGCGAGGUCUGUUAAAUGAUCGUUGGCCAAGCACAUUUCAUUCCUUCAAAUGAGCUCGUGUCUACAGUUGUGGCAAUCGUUCACAGGCCAGGAAAGAAAACCAGCUCAGAUGAGGAUGGGCAUCACUUCCAAUAGGUCGUCGAGGUUCGAAGCACCUGGAAAGAAGUCAUCCGUUGGAGGCUGCAAACCAGAUUUAGUUGUAAUGUGAAUGAUUAGCCUAUAUUAACUCAUAAAUUAGAUACAUUAUCCUAAACUGCACUGAAUAAAUAUUGAGUAUGUAAGA